This is a small nucleolar RNA of Magnolia sinica, 102 nucleotides long. RefSeq annotates it as small nucleolar RNA Z266. The transcript has a single exon. The record is from RefSeq and is a predicted model, not a curated record. NCBI's taxonomy places the organism in Eukaryota, Viridiplantae, Streptophyta, Magnoliopsida, Magnoliales, Magnoliaceae.
AGUGUGGCAAGAGUGAUGAAUCAAUUAGAUGUGUGAAAAGGGAAAUUUCCUCAAUAUGAACGAAUUUUUUGAGGCAUUUACUAAUAUUCUGACUUGCCCACU